AUUGAACGCUGGCGGCAGGCCUAACACAUGCAAGUCGAGCGAGCGGCGGACGGGUGAGUAAUGUCUGGGGAUGUGCCUGAUAGAGGGGGGUAACUACUGGAAACGGUGGCUAAUAACGCAUACGAUCGGAUGAGCCCAUAUGGGAUUAGCUUGUGGGUGGGGUAAAGGCUCACCAAGGCGACGAUCUCUAGCUGGUCUGAGAGGAUGAUCAGCCAAACUGGAACUGAGACACGGCCCAGACUCCUACGGGAGGCAGCAGGGGGGAAUAUUGCACAAUGGGCGCAAGCCUGAUGCAGCCAUGCCGCGUGUAUGAAGAAGGCCUUCGGGUUGUAAAGUACUUUCAGCUGGGAGGCGUUACCCGCAGAAGAAGCACCGGCUAACUCCGUGCCAGCAGCCGCGGUAAUAC
RNAcentral lists this ribosomal RNA (406 nucleotides) under uncultured bacterium. RNAcentral describes it as "partial 16S ribosomal RNA". It matches the Rfam family "Bacterial small subunit ribosomal RNA", at positions 30 to 526 of the family's 1533-position model. The record is from RNAcentral.